Molecule: ribosomal RNA, 484 nt
Filed under: uncultured bacterium
Lineage: Bacteria
Description: partial 16S ribosomal RNA
Rfam family: Bacterial small subunit ribosomal RNA
Source: RNAcentral
UGGGGAAUAUUGGACAAUGGGGGCAACCCUGAUCCAGCAAUGCCGCGUGUGUGAAGAAGGUCUUCGGAUUGUAAAGCACUUUCGACGGGGACGAUGAUGACGGUACCCGUAGAAGAAGCCCCGGCUAACUUCGUGCCAGCAGCCGCGGUAAUACGAAGGGGGCUAGCGUUGCUCGGAAUGACUGGGCGUAAAGGGCGUGUAGGCGGUUUACACAGUCAGAUGUGAAAUCCCCGGGCUUAACCUGGGAGCUGCAUUUGAUACGUGUAGACUAGAGUGUGAGAGAGGGUUGUGGAAUUCCCAGUGUAGAGGUGAAAUUCGUAGAUAUUGGGAAGAACACCGGUGGCGAAGGCGGCAACCUGGCUCAUGACUGACGCUGAGGCGCGAAAGCGUGGGGAGCAAACAGGAUUAGAUACCCUGGUAGUCCACGCUGUAAACGAUGUGUGCUAGAUGUUGGGUAACUUUGUUAUUCAGUGUCGCAGUUAAC